Molecule: ribosomal RNA, 1179 nt
Filed under: Bacillus safensis
Lineage: Bacteria; Bacillati; Bacillota; Bacilli; Caryophanales; Bacillaceae
Description: bacterial SSU rRNA
Rfam family: Bacterial small subunit ribosomal RNA
Source: RNAcentral
UGGGAUAACUCCGGGAAACCGGAGCUAAUACCGGAUAGUUCCUUGAACCGCAUGGUUCAAGGAUGAAAGACGGUUUCGGCUGUCACUUACAGAUGGACCCGCGGCGCAUUAGCUAGUUGGUGGGGUAAUGGCUCACCAAGGCGACGAUGCGUAGCCGACCUGAGAGGGGUGAUCGGCCACACUGGGACUGAGACACGGCCCAGACUCCUACGGGAGGCAGCAGUAGGGAAUCUUCCGCAAUGGACGAAAGUCUGACGGAGCAACGCCGCGUGAGUGAUGAAGGUUUUCGGAUCGUAAAGCUCUGUUGUUAGGGAAGAACAAGUGCGAGAGUAACUGCUCGCACCUUGACGGUACCUAACCAGAAAGCCACGGCUAACUACGUGCCAGCAGCCGCGGUAAUACGUAGGUGGCAAGCGUUGUCCGGAAUUAUUGGGCGUAAAGGGCUCGCAGGCGGUUUCUUAAGUCUGAUGUGAAAGCCCCCGGCUCAACCGGGGAGGGUCAUUGGAAACUGGGAAACUUGAGUGCAGAAGAGGAGAGUGGAAUUCCACGUGUAGCGGUGAAAUGCGUAGAGAUGUGGAGGAACACCAGUGGCGAAGGCGACUCUCUGGUCUGUAACUGACGCUGAGGAGCGAAAGCGUGGGGAGCGAACAGGAUUAGAUACCCUGGUAGUCCACGCCGUAAACGAUGAGUGCUAAGUGUUAGGGGGUUUCCGCCCCUUAGUGCUGCAGCUAACGCAUUAAGCACUCCGCCUGGGGAGUACGGUCGCAAGACUGAAACUCAAAGGAAUUGACGGGGGCCCGCACAAGCGGUGGAGCAUGUGGUUUAAUUCGAAGCAACGCGAAGAACCUUACCAGGUCUUGACAUCCUCUGACAACCCUAGAGAUAGGGCUUUCCCUUCGGGGACAGAGUGACAGGUGGUGCAUGGUUGUCGUCAGCUCGUGUCGUGAGAUGUUGGGUUAAGUCCCGCAACGAGCGCAACCCUUGAUCUUAGUUGCCAGCAUUCAGUUGGGCACUCUAAGGUGACUGCCGGUGACAAACCGGAGGAAGGUGGGGGAUGACGUCAAAUCAUCAUGCCCCCUUAUGACCUGGGCUACACACGUGCUACAAUGGACAGAACAAAGGGCUGCAAGACCGCAAGGUUUAGCCAAUCCCAUAAAUCUGUUCUCAGUUCGGAUCGCA